AAACGCAGCAGAGCUGGCUGCUGGGGCCCUCCGGGGAGCAGAAGAAGAAGAAGUAUGUGGAUCUGGGAUGCAUCAUUGUCAGCCGUAAGAUCUUUGUGUGGACAGUCGGGACGCUCCUGGUCUCCGCCUUUCUGGCGGGCUUCAUCACCCUCAUCGUCAAGACAGUGCCGCGUCACCACCGCGGCCGCCCUCCCCCCGACAACUACACACUGGCGCUCCACAAGUCUCUAAUGUUCUUCAACGCCCAGCGAUGUACGUUUUCUUUAUGCCCUUUAUUCUUUUUAUUUAUCUUUCUUGUUUCUAAAUUCUACAUUUGGGUUUGUUGUUUCUAAAAUUCUAAAUCUGGGUUUGUUGUUUCUAUAUUCUAAAUUUGGGUGUUAAAGUAAGUGUCAGAUUUAGAUAUAUAUAUAUAUAUAUAUAUAUAUAUAGUAUCUGGAUAAUUGAUUUGAUUUGAUUAAUUGCAUUCUUCUUGAUAUCUCGAUCAUCAUUUUUUUCAUUUUUCAUUAACUAAUAAUAAUAAUAAUAAUACUCUGAUAUGAUAUGAUAUCACAGCGGGAAAACUCCCAAAACAUAACAAUGUGUCGUGGAGGGGUAACUCAUGUCUUAAGGAUGGCAAUGAUGCAUCCACCACUUUUAAAGAUCUUGCGGGUGGUUUUUAUGACGCCGGAGAUGCCAUCAAGUUC
Molecule: long non-coding RNA, 683 nt
Filed under: Prunus persica (peach)
Lineage: Eukaryota; Viridiplantae; Streptophyta; Magnoliopsida; Rosales; Rosaceae
Description: long non-coding RNA (PPER_LNC001703)
Source: RNAcentral